GCGGAGUGAGAGGAGCUCAGUCUGCUCCCCUCUCCCUCCCUCCUGAAGGAGAGAGAGGGGAGCAGAGUGAGCAUGCUCAGUCUGCUCCCCUCUCUCUCUCUCUCUCCUUCAGGAGGGAGAGAGAGGGGAGCGGAGUGAGCUCCUCUCAGUCUGU
Non-coding RNA from Xyrichtys novacula (pearly razorfish), 154 nucleotides. The record is from the annotation of a GenBank genome assembly. NCBI's taxonomy places the organism in Eukaryota, Metazoa, Chordata, Actinopteri, Labriformes, Labridae.